AUGUCAACGAUCUUUAUAAAGUUGUUUGAAGCGUCUAUGAUAAACAGAGAGCAAAUUAGAAUCCAAGGAAGUUGACAUGUCAUCACUUCAUUUUUUUGCGCCUGCGCAUAAAUCUGAGAAACGUGAGUUUGUCAUCAUUUUUUAUCUAGACAUAGGAUAGGUUGUGUGAAAAUAUUACUGAUGUUUAACGUUAAAAAUGGACCAAAAGAUUAAUGCUAAACAACAUUUGACAUGUUUGAACGAACAUAAAUAGAUUAUUUACUAGGUUUUUUUAGCUUUUCGGCGUGAUUUGACCAACCCCCACGACAUUUUUUGGGGGCAUAAUGAACGCUAAGUACUUGGUGUUAUUUGGACAUAAAUUAUGAAACCACAUUUGUUCCGGACCUGGAAUGCCUUCCGGACCUGGGAUCCUGCCUUCUGAUGGAGAUAAUCAAAGUCCAGCCUGACAGCCAGCCCCAGCCUCACCCCCCAGCCUCAUCCAUUUCAAAGGCUCUGGGGUCAGCAGGUGAGCAUGGAGGCUGCAGUUUGUGUGGAAAGGAGUCUUCCUUCUCAAAAGUGAUGGUGCCAGUGCCAUGCUAUGUGUCUGGAGAGAAGGAGCAGGGAAGAGGAAAGGAGAGGACAGAGCUGGAUGAAGAGAGAGAGAGGGCGGUGAAAUCAGCCUGUUAGAACAGAACAAUUAAUCAGAGAGCAGGCAAUCACAAGGCUUCUGUGAGAGAGCAGCAUCUAGGUAAGGGGAGAGAGUGACAAAGACAACUUUGCCGUCAGUGAUCUCCGUAACAUGGUAAGAUGGUGAAGGGAAUGGGCAGGCUCAUGGAUCUGGUGGCCAGCACUGGAUCAAAGGUGGUCUUCACCAUGGAGCACUCAGCUAAGGUUGCAGCCCACACUUAAAGACAGCGUUCAAGUCACAAAUGGCCCCUGAUAUUGUAGCUUCCCAUGCCACUGGCGGGGACCAACAGAUGAUAAGAGACGGACCGAGACAAUCAUUGGAUUGACAGCCAUCACCAGCGAAGGAUCUCUUGGGUCCACUUCCAGCACUCACUGGGGUCCACUUAAAGACAGGCUCCGUAUGGACAGACAGCACUGUGGAGCCUAUCCCAGGCCAGCGGUAAUGCUAGCAAGCUGACUGACCCUCAGAGCACUUAGCUACAGACAGUUCAAAGAUUGGUCUCAUGCUUUAGCAGCUAGAAGAGGGUCUCAAAGGACUGUAACGAGCUGGGUCUGGACUUUGGUUAGUUUGUUUGCUUGUGUUUUCAAUCAGGUGGAUUACCUGCCAUGAAAUGCUCAAUAACAAAAGUACUGUACGCUGCCAGGAAGCACCCAGAAAAAUCUCAUUUUUAAGUCCUUACUCCAUUUUUAAUCUGUUUGUUUUGAUCUUAUACACAUGGUGGUUCACAGUAACUUUUUGUCACCCUAUUGAUGUUUUUAUCUAAUGUAUUACUUGUAUGCUGGAUUGUCCUUUAUACUCAAAUACACCCAAAUGUUUUCCUCAAGUAAUUAGUAUUAUUUUUAAUGAGUUAGGGAGCUCUGGGCCUUCUGUUUUUAUCAAUGGGGAAGUUGAGGUUGAUGAUUACCAGGCUAUUAGUAUGUUAGUUUACUACCAUGAGAUACUUCAGUAGGUUUUAUAUUUCCACCCACGGCAUUGUGAGCCUCUUCUGUGUGUGGUGGGAGGAGAGCGGUAAUAAUGGCAGGAAACAAUGACUCUCUACAGUGACAUGUUCAAGGUAAAUAAACACAGAGCUGGAGCGAGAGAGAGCGGGAGAGCCACCUGUUCAGUGAUGGAUAGUCCCUUGAACAACAACACACUACCCGAGGUCAACACUCUCUCUCUCUCUAUCUUUCUCUUUCCCCAUCUCUCUCUCUUUCUCUCCCCAUCUCUCUCUCUCUCUGUCCAUGUGUUCCUUUGUUCCUCAUCCAGAUCCUCAUCCAUGAUGUAUCAUCUCCCAGUUUCCAAACCCAACUCCCAUAGUUUCCCUCCUUCCCUGCCUCCCUUCCUUCGUCUUUCCUAUAGCCUCUAUCUCCUUUCCUCCCUACUUCCCUUCCUGCCUACCUCCCAAAGCUUUCCUUCGCUCCCUCCCUUGCUCCAUCCCGCCCUCUCUGCAUGCCUGCCUGGCGCUCUCCUCUCAAAGCUGUCGUCUCUGCUCUGCUCUGACACUGUCACACAUGUUCUUGUGUGUUUGUCUCCGUCUCUGAGGGGAAAGAUUCAGAAUCUAAUUACCAGGUUGUUUUGUAAUUAAUUUGCAGUAAACACCUAACUCAAUUAGGCAGCAAGUAUGAUUCUCCUCUCUCCUUCACCCACCAAGAUGGUGAUGAUGUUUGGAGCACUCCAACGACUUUCUCACCAGCCAAACUGUAAGGGCGAGGACCCUGGUCUUUUUCCUCUCCCUGCACAAUUAAUGCUUCGUAUUAAUUGUUGUUUCUGUUUAGUUAUGAGUGAAUACAAUUAUGUAAAGAUACUGUAGGACCAACUCUAAUGAUAACAGCAUUUCUAUUUAAUUGUGAAUAGGGAGAUUGAAGCCAGAUUCUAUUCAAGCAUUUUGUUUUAUAAUGAACACCCUCAAAGAUUUUACCAGUGAAAUACUUUUGCUGUGCUGUGAAACUGGUUAUGUUGGAAUUAUGGAAAUAAUUGCUCACCCCAAGAAAUCCCUUAAAAAUGUUCAGUGUACGAUAACAGACUUUUCGGGACCUAGUAGAACAUAUAAAUGUCAUAAGAGACAUGUCAAGUUUUCUGUAAGGCGCUAGUACAUAAGGGGCAUCUGCCAAGAGAUAGCAGUGAAUAUGCCAUCUCAUGUCAUAUGAUCCUAGUGGAGAUGUAAAUCUGCCAGGGGUUUCGAGGGAAAAUCCCUUAUAAUCUUCCUCUCACUGUGUGAAUGUCACUAAUACUGCAAAUGCUUAUACUGCACAAUUUAAACACGCUCCCCAAUCCCCCUUCCCUGAUACAUGUGUAAAUAUUGGACUAUAAAUUAUGCCUUCUUGUAUUAGACUUAUGUAUUAGAUUAUUCUAUUCUACUGAGCCAUCUACUUUAUGUUCAUAUUCUUAUAUUUUGUUAUUUCUUAUUGUUGCAUUGUCGAGAAGGAACCUGCAAGUAAGCAUUUCAUUGGACGAUGUAUACCAUAUGUAUCCUGUACUUACGACUAAUAAAACCUGAAACUUGGCAUGUUGUUUGAUGGCAAGAUAUGACAUAGACAAUUCAG
This 3192-nucleotide long non-coding RNA is filed under the name Salmo salar (Atlantic salmon). RNAcentral describes it as "lncRNA (ENSSSAG00000091133.1)". Lineage: Eukaryota; Metazoa; Chordata; Actinopteri; Salmoniformes; Salmonidae. The record is from RNAcentral.